CAGCAGCCGCGGUAAUACGUAGGGGGCGAGCGUUGUCCGGAAUUAUUGGGCGUAAAGAGCUCGUAGGCGGUUAUGGAAGUCGGGUGUGAAAUACCGGGGCUCAACUCCGGGGCGCCAUUCGAUACUCCAUUGACUAGAGUCCGGUAGGGGAAGGUGGAAUUCCUGGUGUAGCGGUGAAAUGCACAGAUAUCAGGAGGAACACCGGUGGCGAAGGCGGCCUUCUGGGCCGGUACUGACGCUGAGGAGCGAAAGCUAGGGGAGCGAACAGGAUUAGAUACCCUGGUAGUCCUAGCCGUAAACGAUGGGCACUAGGUGUGGGGGGCUAUCCACUCCCUCCGUGCCGAAGCUAACGCAUUAAGUGCCCCGCCUGGGGAGUACGGCCGCAAGGCUAAAACUCAAAGGAAUUGACGG
This 411-nucleotide ribosomal RNA is filed under the name uncultured soil bacterium. Its description in RNAcentral is "bacterial SSU rRNA". It matches the Rfam family "Bacterial small subunit ribosomal RNA", at positions 509 to 916 of the family's 1533-position model. The record is from RNAcentral.